UAGAUUCUAGGUGCCUUAUAUAUAGGUGAAAAGGGAAUGCGGUUAGAAUCCGUAACAGCCCCCGCUACUGUAUUUGAUUAUGAAUUUUGACUUUUAACUUUAAAAGUAAGAGCUCAAAAUAAAUAUGGAUCAUAAGCCAGGAGACCUGCCUAGUAGU
Molecule: non-coding RNA, 157 nt
Filed under: uncultured Clostridium sp.
Lineage: Bacteria; Bacillati; Bacillota; Clostridia; Eubacteriales; Clostridiaceae
Source: RNAcentral